ACAAUCUCCUCGGACGUGAUGAA
Molecule: non-coding RNA, 23 nt
Filed under: Arabidopsis thaliana (thale cress)
Lineage: Eukaryota; Viridiplantae; Streptophyta; Magnoliopsida; Brassicales; Brassicaceae
Source: RNAcentral